RNAcentral lists this non-coding RNA (28 nucleotides) under Rattus norvegicus (Norway rat). The record is from RNAcentral. Lineage: Eukaryota; Metazoa; Chordata; Mammalia; Rodentia; Muridae.
GACCCCUGGCAGGAAUAUAGAGGUGAUC